GCAGUCGAGCGAGAAAGGCCCUUCGGGGCUGAGUAGAGCGGCGGACGGGUGAGUAACGCGUAGGAAUCUACCCAGUGGUGGGGGACAACUUGGGGAAACUCAAGCUAAUACCGCAUACGCCCUACGGGGGAAAGCGGGGGACCUUCGGGCCUCGCGCCAUUGGAUGAGCCUGCGUCGGAUUAGCUAGUUGGUGGGGUAAAGGCCCACCAAGGCGACGAUCCGUAGCUGGUCUGAGAGGAUGAUCAGCCACACUGGGACUGAGACACGGCCCAGACUCCUACGGGAGGCAGCAGUGGGGAAUAUUGCGCAAUGGAGGAAACUCUGACGCAGCCAUGCCGCGUGUGUGAAGAAGGCCUUCGGGUUGUAAAGCACUUUCACUUGGGAAGAAAAGCUUAUCGUUAAUAGCGGUGAGCCGUGACAUUACCUUGAGAAGAAGCACCGGCUAACUCCGUGCCAGCAGCCGCGGUAAUACGGAGGGUGCGAGCGUUAAUCGGAAUUACUGGGCGUAAAGCGCGCGUAGGCGGUUGAUUAAGUCAGCUGUGAAAGCCCCGGGCUCAACCUGGGAAUUGCAGUUGAUACUGGCCGACUAGAGUGCAGGAGAGGGAGGUAGAAUUCCACGUGUAGCGGUGAAAUGCGUAGAUAUGUGGAGGAAUACCAGUGGCGAA
RNAcentral lists this ribosomal RNA (665 nucleotides) under uncultured Gammaproteobacteria bacterium. RNAcentral's name for it is "bacterial SSU rRNA". It matches the Rfam family "Bacterial small subunit ribosomal RNA", at positions 57 to 719 of the family's 1533-position model. Lineage: Bacteria; Pseudomonadati; Pseudomonadota; Gammaproteobacteria. The record is from RNAcentral.